GCGUAAAAGGUUUGUCAUGGAUCUCACAACAGGCUCGUCAUUAGCCUUUCACGCUGAAGAGGCGGGUUCGACUCCCGCAGGGCGCGCCA
Molecule: transfer RNA, 89 nt
Filed under: Methylobacterium sp. WL103
Lineage: Bacteria; Pseudomonadati; Pseudomonadota; Alphaproteobacteria; Hyphomicrobiales; Methylobacteriaceae
Description: tRNA-Ser
Source: RNAcentral